AGCGUUAUCCGGAAUUAUUGGGCGUAAAGGGUGCGUAGGCGGGUUAUCAAGUCUUUGGUUAAAAUGCGGUGCUCAACGCCGUAGUGCCAAAGAAACUGAUAGUCUAGAGUAUGGUAGAAGUGAGUGGAACUCCAUGUGUAGCGGUAAAAUGCGUAAAUAUAUGGAAGAACACCAGUGGCGAAGGCGGCUCACUAGGCCAAUACUGACGCUGAGACACGAAAGCGUGGGGAGCAAACAGGAUUAGAUACCCUGGUAGUCCACGCCCUAAACGAUGAGUACUAAGUGUAGCCAGAAGGCUGUGCUGAAGUUAACGCAUUAAGUACUCCGCCUGAGUAGUACGUACGCAAGUAUGAAACUUAAAGGAAUUGACGGGAUCCCGCACAAGCGGUGGAGCAUGUUGUUUAAUUCGACGAUACGCGAAGAACCUUACCAGGUCUUGACAUACUCGGCAAAUCUAUAGAGAUAUAGAGGAGGUUAACCGGGAUACAGGUGGUGCAUGGUUGUCGUCAGCUCGUGUCGUGAGAUGUUAGGUUAAGUCCUGCAACGAGCGCAACCCUUAUUGCUAGUUACCAUCAUUAAGUUGGGGACUCUAGCGAGACUGCCGGUGAUAAACCGGAGGAAGGCGGGGAUGACGUCAAAUCAUCAUGCCCUUUAUGACCUGGGCUACAAACGUGCUACAAUGGCUGACACAAAGAGAAGCGAGCUCGCGAGAGUAAGCAAACCUCAGAAAAGCAGUCUCAGUUCGGAUUGAAGUCUGCAACUC
Molecule: ribosomal RNA, 763 nt
Filed under: human gut metagenome
Description: bacterial SSU rRNA
Rfam family: Bacterial small subunit ribosomal RNA
Source: RNAcentral